GAGACACCCUUAUGGGGCAGGACUUGCUUCAGGGGGGUUUUGGCGCUCACUGAGUCUGCUCCCUGAGUGUGACUCU
RNAcentral lists this microRNA precursor (76 nucleotides) under Myotis lucifugus (little brown bat). RNAcentral describes it as "mir-9229 microRNA precursor family". It matches the Rfam family "mir-9229 microRNA precursor family". Lineage: Eukaryota; Metazoa; Chordata; Mammalia; Chiroptera; Vespertilionidae. The record is from Rfam by way of RNAcentral.